This is a small nucleolar RNA of Larimichthys crocea (large yellow croaker), 92 nucleotides long. The record is from Ensembl. NCBI's taxonomy places the organism in Eukaryota, Metazoa, Chordata, Actinopteri, Sciaenidae.
GAUGUGGUUAAUGAUGCUCAACUUUUUUCCCCAUCUUAUCGACCAUGGUGAACACUGACUGAAACAAAGCCAGUUUUGUCUGAAACCACAAU